This is a long non-coding RNA of Magallana angulata, 2829 nucleotides long. RefSeq lists it as uncharacterized. The record is from RefSeq and is a predicted model, not a curated record. The transcript is spliced from 2 exons. Lineage: Eukaryota; Metazoa; Mollusca; Bivalvia; Ostreida; Ostreidae.
GCUUUACUCAACUUUGCGAAUCCCAACAUCGCAAGAUGUGCUAGCGCGGCGGCGUAUUGUGCAAAGUUGUGUUAGCGCAACAGCAUUUUAUGUGAAGUUGUGUUAGCGUGAUGGCGUCACGGCGUGUUGUCUGACAAUUUUUUUUUGGAUUGUCUUGCCUAGAUGGCGGAGUGGUUAGUGCUAGUGGGUUCCAAAGGUUGUGAAUUCAAGCCCGGGCGGGGCGGAUCGAAUUGGAACUCAAACAAGUUAUCCUGUGGAAUUGACGUCCCAUGAGAGAGUUCUCUUCUUAGUGCUGGGGUUGUUUAUGAAUCGCUACAUCUGAUCUAUCAGACUAAACAUAGCUUUGUGUAAUAGCAAAGAGACACAAAAUCGAUGCAAAUCGGAAGGACGCCCUACUCAUGUCCAGAAAUACAUGCAUCAAUCCAUUUCAAAGUUGUAUUGAAUCGGAAAUGAAGAAGAUUGGUAAAUAUUGUUCCAUGUGGAAUUUAAUGGCGUUGUAAAUCAGAUUUCGAGUCAAUGACAUUUCAAGUGUUCAAUGCCCUAAAAUUGGAUAAAAUAGCAAAAUCGGUGUGUCAUCGCUGAUGAUUGCAUGCUUCCAAGUUACGGAGCAAAUUGUUUAUCGCUUACUUAUACCAUCCUUCUGUCACUGACAUCAAAGAUACUACUGUCACUGUCAAACGUUUCUAUCCUCAAAGUCAACUGUAUCACCGUGAAAACGUUCGUUGUGUCACUGCUACUAUGAUACUGCCGUGCAUCAAACUGUUCAAUGUCUCGAACGACGACGCUAUGCCAUUGAUUAGUCAGCGUAUUGUUGUCAUACAUAGAUGUACUAGUUAUUUACUGCUAAUACCUGUCACUGUCAACACCCAUGGUUUGUCACUGUCACUGCCAUCACCCAUGUUUUGUCACUGUCAACACCCGUGUUUUUGUCACUGCCAACAACCACGUAUAUGUCACUGCCAACUCCCAUGCUUUUGUCAUUGUCGACAUAUACUUCUGUCACUGACAAUAGUUUUGAAAAUGGUCCAUUGGAUGCACGGUCAGACAGAUGAGUUCACAGACCCCUGUCAACCGGUGAUCAGUUUCUAAAAUGUUGAGCUGUAUUCAAAGAUUAACGGAGCAUUGAUCCCGUAACAAAUUCUGUUUUACUUCUGGUAUCAAAUUUCAAUUAAUGCUUGCUGGUAAAUAAUGCAAAAUAAAUUUCAUUCAAUAUAUUUAAAUGCAAUACUUUAUUGGUUUAUAACAUACAACUGUUGUAUUAACAUAAAUUUGCUGCACCCAUUUUUGUACAUACAAAUGUAGAAUUUAAAAACCAAUUCAGAUUUAAUUUUAUCACGUAAGAAGAACACUUCACUAACAACAUUAUGUAAUAAAGGCAAGCAAUGAACAAUGCAAACAAUGGCCAGCUGAAACAAACAGACGAUGAUUGCCUCCAUCUAAAUCCGAUACAGAGUUUGUCACAUUAAUGGAAGCAUCAAGCAAAUCAUGUUCAGCCAUGUUAAAUCAUCGAAUGAUCUAUCACUACGGUAAUUGGAGAUUUUAUCUACAGAUACUAAACCAUUAUCAUUUUAAAACUCACAAAUACAGUAAAUUCAAGGUUUUUUAAUGUUUCUAUUACACUGGAAUAUUUAUAACUGAGAAAGCACUUUUAGCAACGCUAAUAUAAAUAAACAUAUAAGCUGGGUUUUUUCUCAAUAAGAUAAUUAUACAAAAUGUAGAGGAUUAAUAUCUUUGUAAUAGUGGUUAAUUGUCAUAGUAACAUACAUGAAAUACCAUUGAAAAGUAUUCUAUUUUUUAUGCACAACCAACUCAAUUUCAAGAGAUCAUUUUGUUGUCUUAAACAUGUCUCAAAGUAAGAUGACAUCUUGAAUUUUUCAUAUAUCAUCUAAAUUUUAUAAUUAAAUAGGUUACAGAGUGACUUUGUGUGUGGUGUUUCUGUUCAAAAUAAAACAAGUGUACACAAAUUAAACAUUAAAAAAAAACAGGACAAAACAACCAACACUGAAACUCGGAAUUCCUCGAAACGCAGAAAUAGAACAAAAAGUCGGUAAACACGUCACAGUUUUUUGAUAUUGUCAGAUAAUUCUUAAAAAUCAACUGAAAAAAAAAAUUUGAAACCCACAAACCUGUUUAUCAUGUCAACCUGUUUGUCUUAUUUGGAAUCCUAAUUAUAAUAAUGCCAAAACUAUUUUUUAUAAUGUCAUCUGGUGCCUAAGUGCAUAAUUACUAGUUUACUUAAAAUAGAAAUUAUUGAAGGGCAAUCAUAAUAACUACAAAAUUUUCGAAUUUCUUCAUUUAAAGAUAUUUUAAUUGAUCAAAAUCAAGUAGAUUUGACAGAUAAUGCACUAUUGCAUUGCAGUAACUAAACAAGAACAGCUUUCAAAACACAGCAGACCACAUUUCUGCUUAAAACAAAUGAGUCACAAAAUCCAUUUUUAGCUACAUAUACGCAUAGUAGUAGUCCUAUUACAAUCAUUGAGGAUGACAUAACUUUUGUAUGUACAAGUAGGCCACUGAGUAAAUACAAAUAAUAACAAAAUAAUAAGCCAAGGUGGGUGUAUAUUAAAUCCAAGCAGGAAAAUUACACUUUCUUUGUUUCUCUAUUGUAUUUUGCUGACCGUGUAUUGCAUCAUGCCCUUGGUCCAAUGACAAUUUAUUUAGAAACACAAAAAAGCAUUUCUAGACAUGUGUUUGGUGACUCAGAAUGCUCUGAAUGUGCAGAAGAAAAAGGAAUAUUAUUUGGAAUAUAUCUGCAUUUCUUUUUUAAACUUUGGGUCAUAUUUUGGACAGAAAUGCAACAGAAUCUUAUAGAGAAUCAAAAAAAAGAAA